UACAGAGGUCUCAAGCGUUGUUCGGAUUCAUUGGGCGUAAAGGGUGCGUAGGUGGCGGGGUAAGUCAGGUGUGAAAUUUCGGAGCUUAACUCCGAAACUGCAUUUGAUACUGCCUUGCUUGAGGACUGGAGAGGAGACUGGAAUUCACGGUGUAGCAGUGAAAUGCGUAGAUAUCGUGAGGAAGACCAGUGGCGAAGGCGGGUCUCUGGACAGUUCUUGACGCUGAGGCGCGAAAGCCAGGGGAGCAAACGGG
RNAcentral lists this ribosomal RNA (253 nucleotides) under uncultured bacterium. RNAcentral describes it as "partial 16S ribosomal RNA". It matches the Rfam family "Bacterial small subunit ribosomal RNA", at positions 524 to 776 of the family's 1533-position model. The record is from RNAcentral.